AAUAUUAUAUAAUGUAAAUUACGUUUCAUUUACAGAAUUUUAUGUCAGAUCUAAUGGAAGCGUUAAUUACCGAGUUACCGUACUUAAUGACCGAGGAGUAUAUUGCGACGCAGACAAAAUAUUCUAACAAUGUAAUUGAGAUAAUGGUAGAACUUAUGGACAAUUAUGUUGAAAGGAUGUCACAAAUACUACGUACGAGAAAUGGAAUAAGAAAAGUAUAUGUUUUAGAAAAAACUUCAUUUCAUUAAUCUGUUGAGUGAUGGAAUGUUAAACUUGUAUAAAAUUAAGAAUAAAUUUUAAAUAGUGUUAUCUGUGCAAACCUGAUCCAGAGUCACAGAUUGUAUAUGGUUUUCCAUUGAAAUAUUGGAUAUAUGGAAAACGAUAUUGGGAAUAUCGGAAAGCGAUGUGGGCAUCGAUGGAAGCAGAUAUGUUGACAAAUUCGACGGACGAUACUAAUGCAAGCAAUUUUCAAAGAAAAGGUUUUCAUCAUAAGAAACAAAUAAAACCGAAAACACCAAAAAUAGCCAUAAGUUCGGAUAGUAACACGUUGUUGGAUCAACCAAGACAAAGUAACGCAAUAUUCCAAGCUAUGCAAUUUUCCGCUGUACUAUUUCUACUACUUAAGAUUUAAGAGUACUGUUACACAUAUUGUUACUUUUAAGAGGAUUAAAAAUGUUUUUCCAAUCUUUUUCUUUUUCUUUUGAUUAUACUAUUGGAAGGAAGAAGAAGCAGUCGCAUCAGCCAGUCGACAAGAAUCUCGUUGUUACUAUCGAAACGAAACAAAGAAAGACAAGAAACUGAAAAAAACGUUAAAUCCAAAUUUUCUCCAAUGGAAUUUAUUCUGGAGGUGGAAAGCGACCGUGAUGGCAAUAAUGAUCCGAUAAAUUUAAAUGGAGCAACUACGCAGAACCCAAAACAAUUUUCUGCGGAAUUGCAGGAAAGUAAAUAUAUAUUAUAUAUACAUACGUAUAUUCUUAUAUUUUAUUUUCAUAUCUGAUUUUCAUAUUUGAUUUUCAUAUUUUCCCUUUUAUUUCUUUAUCAACUGAUAUAAUCACGAGAUAAAAUUCUUACGUUAUAGAUACAAA
This is an RNA transcript of Bombus huntii, 1085 nucleotides long. RefSeq lists it as uncharacterized. The transcript has 3 exons. NCBI's taxonomy places the organism in Eukaryota, Metazoa, Arthropoda, Insecta, Hymenoptera, Apidae. The record is from RefSeq and is a predicted model, not a curated record.